GACAGAGGGUGCAAACGUUGUUCGGAAUUACUGGGCGUAAAGCGCGUGUAGGCGGCCUGACAAGUCGGAUGUGAAAGCCCUCGGCUCAACCGAGGAAGUGCGUUCGAAACUGUCGGGCUUGAGUACCGGAGAGGGUGGCGGAAUUCCCCAAGUAGAGGUGAAAUUCGUAGAUAUGGGGAGGAACACCGGUGGCGAAGGCGGCCACCUGGACGGUCACUGACGCUGAGACGCGAAAGCGUGGGUAGCAAACAGG
Molecule: ribosomal RNA, 253 nt
Filed under: uncultured bacterium
Lineage: Bacteria
Description: partial 16S ribosomal RNA
Rfam family: Bacterial small subunit ribosomal RNA
Source: RNAcentral